UACGGAGGGGACUAGCGUUGUUCGGAAUUACUGGGCGUAAAGCGCACGUAGGCGGAUUUGUAAGUCAGGGGUGAAAUCCCGAGGCUCAACCUCGGAACUGCCUUUGAUACUGCAAAUCUCGAGUCCGGAAGAGGUGAGUGGAAUUCCUAGUGUAGAGGUGAAAUUCGUAGAUAUUAGGAAGAACACCAGUGGCGAAGGCGGCUUACUGGUCCGGAACUGACGCUGAGGUGCGAAAGCGUGGGGAGCAAACAGGG
This 254-nucleotide ribosomal RNA is filed under the name uncultured bacterium. RNAcentral's name for it is "partial 16S ribosomal RNA". It matches the Rfam family "Bacterial small subunit ribosomal RNA", at positions 524 to 777 of the family's 1533-position model. The record is from RNAcentral.